GGGGAUGACAGGCUUCGACGGGAGAGGCUGGUUCCGGAAUGCGAGCCGAGCGGCGCCGAACUCGUUAACGCAGCGCAAAACCUUAAGUGCCAACCGCACUUCCUACGCUGCUAUGCCUCUCGCCGCCUAGUGUGACGAGAUCAUAACAGUCGGUCUCCUUGAUGAGACCGCGUCCACCGCGCGCCGCCCUCCACCCGGCGACGGACCGGGCGACACAAUGGUGUGAGCGCCGCGUAGGAUUCUGCUAACUACGCCUAAGCCUAGCAGAUGGUCGCAGGGACGCUAGCCCGCCGAGGUCUUUGCGAUGACAUUAUCCGGCAGGCUACGCUCGUAGAUUUCCGAGGGUCGAGUCUUUCGGACCCGGGUUCAAUUCCCGGCAUCUCCAC
This 386-nucleotide transfer-messenger RNA is filed under the name Anaerolineaceae bacterium. It matches the Rfam family "transfer-messenger RNA". Rfam says of the family: Bacterial tmRNA, also known as 10Sa RNA or SsrA, is named for its dual tRNA and mRNA-like properties. Its role is to liberate the mRNA from a stalled ribosome. To accomplish this part of the tmRNA is used as a reading frame that ends in a translation stop signal. Lineage: Bacteria; Bacillati; Chloroflexota; Anaerolineae; Anaerolineales; Anaerolineaceae. The record is from RNAcentral.